Long non-coding RNA from Cebus imitator (Panamanian white-faced capuchin), 272 nucleotides. RefSeq lists it as uncharacterized. The record is from RefSeq and is a predicted model, not a curated record. The transcript has 2 exons. NCBI's taxonomy places the organism in Eukaryota, Metazoa, Chordata, Mammalia, Primates, Cebidae.
GCUUCCUCCUCCUCCUCUUCGGUCGCCGUGGCCGCCACUGCCUCCCCCCCGGCCGCCGGCCCCACGCUCGGCUCCGCAGGCAAGCUCCUCUCAAACCUUCGGCGGCGUCCACUCGCCUUCGGAUUGGCCCGCUGCGCAGCCUCCUGCCUACAACGCAAACCGUGAACACUGCGGAGUCCAGGGCUUUGGGCAGAUAGAGGACCUUUUAUUCGCGAGGGUCGGGAGUGGGGUCCUAGGUGGGGAGAGACAAUAAAUACCGAGGAAUGUCGGGG